GACGAACGCUGGCGGCGUGCCUAAUACAUGCAAGUAGAACGCUGAAGAGCGGCGCUUGCUCUUCUUGCAUGAGUCGCGCACGGGUGAGUCACGCGUAGGUAACCUGCCUUGUAGCGGGGGAUCACUAUUGGAAACGAUAGCUAAUCCCGCAUAACAUUGUGUGACACAUGUCAUUUAUUUGAAUGUGGCAGUUGCUGCACUACAAGAUGGACCUGCGUUGUAUUAGCUAGUAGGUGAGGUAACGGCUCACCUAGGCGACGAUACAUAGCCGACCUGAGAGGAGGAGCGGCGACACGGUGACUGGGACACGGCCGAGAGUGCUACGGGAGGCAGCAGUGAGGAAGAUUGGACAAGGGGUGAGAGCCUGAUCCAGCCAUCCCGCGUGAAGGAUGACGGUCCGAGGGAUUGUAACCUUCGUUUGUACAGGGAUAAACCUACUCGCGGGAGGGUAGCUGAAGGUACUGGACAAAUAAGCACCGGCUAACUCCGUG
RNAcentral lists this ribosomal RNA (491 nucleotides) under uncultured bacterium. RNAcentral describes it as "partial 16S ribosomal RNA". It matches the Rfam family "Bacterial small subunit ribosomal RNA", at positions 28 to 507 of the family's 1533-position model. The record is from RNAcentral.